This 68-nucleotide microRNA precursor is filed under the name Ovis aries (sheep). RNAcentral's name for it is "miRNA (ENSOARG00000021699.1)". Lineage: Eukaryota; Metazoa; Chordata; Mammalia; Artiodactyla; Bovidae. The record is from RNAcentral.
UACGUGUGUGUGUGUGUGUGUGUAUAUAUAUAUAUAUAUAUAUACACACACACACACACACGUAUCUA